CCUACGGGAGGCAGCAGUGAGGAAUAUUGGUCAAUGGGCUUACGCCUGAACCAGCCAAGUCGCGUGAGGGAAGACUGCCCUAUGGGUUGUAAACCUCUUUUGUCAGGGAGCAACGCCGGCUACGUGUAGCCUGACUGAGUGUACCUGAAGAAAAAGCAUCGGCUAACUCCGUGCCAGCAGCCGCGGUAAUACGGAGGAUGCGAGCGUUAUCCGGAUUUAUUGGGUUUAAAGGGUGCGUAGGCGGAAUGCCAAGUCAGCGGUAAAAUCGCGGGGCUCAACCUCGCUCCGCCGUUGAAACUGGCGUUCUUGAGUGGGCGAGAAGUAUGCGGAAUGCGUGGUGUAGCGGUGAAAUGCAUAGAUAUCACGCAGAACGCCGAUUGCGAAGGCAGCAUACCGGCGCCCAACUGACGCUGAAGCACGAAAGCGUGGGUAUCGAACAGGAUUAGAUACCCCAGUAGUC
RNAcentral lists this ribosomal RNA (460 nucleotides) under uncultured bacterium. RNAcentral describes it as "partial 16S ribosomal RNA". It matches the Rfam family "Bacterial small subunit ribosomal RNA", at positions 338 to 795 of the family's 1533-position model. The record is from RNAcentral.